AUUGAACGCUGGCGGCAGGCCUAACACAUGCAAGUCGAGCGGAUGAAGGGAGCUUGCUCCUGGAUUCAGCGGCGGACGGGUGAGUAAUGCCUAGGAAUCUGCCUGGUAGUGGGGGAUAACGUCCGGAAACGGGCGCUAAUACCGCAUACGUCCUGAGGGAGAAAGUGGGGGAUCUUCGGACCUCACGCUAUCAGAUGAGCCUAGGUCGGAUUAGCUAGUUGGUGGGGUAAAGGCCUACCAAGGCGACGAUCCGUAACUGGUCUGAGAGGAUGAUCCGUCACACUGGAACUGAGACACGGUCCAGACUCCUACGGGAGGCAGCAGUGGGGAAUAUUGGACAAUGGGCGAAAGCCUGAUCCGGCCAUGCCGCGUGUGUGAAGAAGGUCUUCGGAUUGUAAAGCACUUUAAGUUGGGAGGAAGGGCAGUAAGUUAAUACCUUGCUGUUUUGACGUUACCAACAGAAUAAGCACCGGCUAACUUCGUG
This 484-nucleotide ribosomal RNA is filed under the name uncultured bacterium. RNAcentral describes it as "partial 16S ribosomal RNA". It matches the Rfam family "Bacterial small subunit ribosomal RNA", at positions 30 to 507 of the family's 1533-position model. The record is from RNAcentral.